This 746-nucleotide unclassified non-coding RNA is filed under the name Hevea brasiliensis (rubber tree). Lineage: Eukaryota; Viridiplantae; Streptophyta; Magnoliopsida; Malpighiales; Euphorbiaceae. The record is from RNAcentral.
AUUUUAAUGAAGACAUGGUUUGUGGGUAUGCUUAUUUGGGCUCAACGAAAGUCAUUCUACCAAAAAUGAGAGAGGGAAAAGUAGGCCUCUAAUUAAUCUGUGCUUUUUAGCUAUGUAAAGUUGUGUUUUUUGUUAUCAGACAGUUCAUUAAGCUGUGUGGUAAAAUUUCUUAUGUGUCUUUUUAAAUUUUUUGAACUGGAAUUUCAUAUGGUAUUAUAAUCUUCCUGGGAUGGAUUAGUGAGUUUGUUUUGCUCAUAAGUGUGAUGAUUUCUGGUAGCAAUUGGAUUAGUUAGUUGUGUUUUUAGAUUGCUUUUGAACAUGCAUGCUGCUGGUGUUGAUAUCAUAUGGAAAAGCUAUAAUUGGUGAUGGUUCUAGUAAAUUAGUGAACAGGUGGGUGUGUCUACAUUCUACAACACUUAAUAUGUGGAACAUAAUUGUGUGUUCACUUGAAUCAUUCAAAAACUGCAAUGAUGUAGAGAUGUAGCAUGCAUGGCAAUGAAACACAAUUCUUCUUAGGUAGUGUGGCUAGUCAAGAUUGAUGUAGGAAUCUACUAUAACUGAGCCUAAAAGUUCUGUGCGAGAAGUUUUGGCAUGAUUUCUUGUGGAAAAUACUGGAGUGUCUGGUCUUUCUUUGGCACUGUGAUUUGCUUUUAUUAUUGUCUCUAACUUGUUAAAAAAUUCAACAUAGGAUUAGGGUUAUACGGUGAUAUUUUUCUAUUUUUGUGAAUUUAUCUCUUCUGCUUUCA